AGAGUUUGAUCCUGGCUCAGAACGAACGCUGGCGGCGUGCUUAACACAUGCAAGUCGAGUGCGCGUUUCUGUAGCAAUACAGGAAUGGCGCACGGCGCACGGGUGCGUAACACGUGGGUAAUCUGCCCUCCGAUGGGGAAUAACCCCGCGAAAGCGGGGCUAAUUCCGCAUAACAUUCCUUGGACUCCGGUUCGAGGAUUCAAAGGCGUAAGUCGUCGGAGGUGGAACCCGCGCCCGAUUAGCUAGUUGGUGAGGUAACGGCUCACCAAGGCAAUGAUCGGUAGCUGGUCUGAGAGGAUGGCCAGCCACACUGGAACUGAGACACGGUCCAGACUCCUACGGGAGGCAGCAGUGGGGAAUCUUGCACAAUGGGCGAAAGCCUGAUGCAGCGACGCCGCGUGGGGGAUGAAGCUUCUCGGAGUGUAAACCCCUUUCGACCCGGACGAAUGCCCCGCGAGGGGAGUGACGGUACGGGUAUAAGAAGCCCCGGCUAACUACGUGCCAGCAGCCGCGGUAAGACGUGGGGGGCCAGCGUUGUUCGGAAUUACUGGGUGUAAAGGGUUCGUAGGCGGUGUGGCAAGUUGGGAGUGAAAUCUCUGGGCUCAACUCAGAGGCUGCUUCCAAAACUGCUGUGCUAGAGUGUGGGAGAGGCGCGUGGAAUUGCAGGUGUAGCGGUGAAAUGCGUAGAUAUCUGCAGGAACACCCGUGGCGAAAGCGGCGCGCUGGACCACUACUGACGCUGAGGAACGAAGCUAGGGGAGCAAACAGGAUUAGAUACCCUGGUAGUCCUAGCCCUAAACGAUCAGGA
RNAcentral lists this ribosomal RNA (808 nucleotides) under uncultured soil bacterium. Its description in RNAcentral is "bacterial SSU rRNA". It matches the Rfam family "Bacterial small subunit ribosomal RNA", at positions 8 to 815 of the family's 1533-position model. The record is from RNAcentral.